This 660-nucleotide ribosomal RNA is filed under the name uncultured bacterium. Its description in RNAcentral is "bacterial SSU rRNA". It matches the Rfam family "Bacterial small subunit ribosomal RNA", at positions 8 to 694 of the family's 1533-position model. The record is from RNAcentral.
AGAGUUUGAUCCUGGCUCAGGACGAACGCUGGCGGUGUGCUUCACACAUGCAAGUCGAACGGGGUAGCAAUACCCAGUGGCGGACGGGUGAGUAACACGUGGGAAUCUGCCUUGAGAUGGGGGAUAGCAGACCGAAAGGUCUAUUAAUACCGCAUAUGUGUAUGUCUCGACAGGGGCAUACAUGAAAGGAGCAAUCCGUCUUAAGAUGAGCCCGCGUCCGAUUAGCUAGUUGGUAGGGUAAUGGCCUACCAAGGCGACGAUCGGUAGGUGGUCUGAGAGGAUGAUCACCCACAAUGGGACUGAGACACGGCCCAUACUCCUACGGGAGGCAGCAGUGGGGAAUUUUGUGCAAUGGGCGAAAGCCUGACACAGCGACACCGCGUGAGCGAAGAAGCCCUUUGGGGUGUAAAGCUCUGUCAGCUGGAACGAAACAAAUGACGGUACCAGCAGAGGAAGCAUCGGCUAACUACGUGCCAGCAGCCGCGGUAAGACGUAGGAUGCGAGCGUUGUCCGGAUUUAUUGGGCGUAAAGAGUUCGUAGGUGGUUUGUUAAGUUCGAUGUUAGAGAUCGAGGCUCAACCUCGGGAGUGCAUUGAAUACUGGCAGACUUGAGUGCGGUAGAGGCUAGUGGAAUUCCCAGUGUAGCGGUGAAAUGCGUAGA